Molecule: ribosomal RNA, 109 nt
Filed under: Sorex araneus (European shrew)
Lineage: Eukaryota; Metazoa; Chordata; Mammalia; Eulipotyphla; Soricidae
Source: RNAcentral
GCUAUUGCUCCACCCCGAGUGCGCCCGAUCUCGACUGAUCUCGGAAGUUAAGCAGGGUUGGGCCUGGUUAGUACUUGAAUGGGAGACCACUGAUUUCUUGAGGAUGGUU